UCCGUAGGUGAACCUGCGGAGGGAUCAUUACACAAUAUGAAAGCGGGCUGGAUACUCUGUAGUAGUGCAUUGCUUUACGGCGUGCGCUGCUGGAGAGCCUAGCCUUGCUGAAUUAUUUACCCGUGUCUUUUGCGUACUUCUUGUUUCCUUGGUGGGCUCGCCCGCCACAAGGACAACUCAUAAACCUUUUGUAAUAGCAAUCAGCGUCAGUAACAACAUAAUAAUUACAACUUUCAACAACGGAUCUCUUGGUUCUGGCAUCGAUGAAGAACGCAGCGAAAUGCGAUACGUAGUGUGAAUUGCAGAAUUCCGUGAAUCAUCGAGUUUUUGAACGCACAUUGCACUCCUUGGUAUUCCGAGGAGUACGCCUGUUCGAGCGUCAUUAAACUAUCAAGCUUGGCUUGGAUUUGGAUCACUGUCGUGGCAGGAUCUCAAUAUUGUAGGCAAUUGACCAUCUGUGAUGACUCACUGGGAGUUCAUUCGCCUCAAACUUUUUGACCAGUUGACCUCGGAUCAGGCGGGGAUACCCGGCUGAACUUAAGGCAUAUCAAUAAGGCGGGAGGGGAAGGUCGACUGGCCAAGGGCACACAGGGGGGGAUA
Molecule: ribosomal RNA, 600 nt
Filed under: uncultured fungus
Lineage: Eukaryota; Fungi
Description: eukaryotic LSU rRNA
Rfam family: 5.8S ribosomal RNA (bases 229-382)
Source: RNAcentral